GAUGAACGCUGGCGGCGUGCCUAAUACAUGCAAGUCGAGCGAACGGACGAGAAGCUUGCUUCUCUGAUGUUAGCGGCGGACGGGUGAGUAACACGUGGAUAACCUACCUAUAAGACUGGGAUAACUUCGGGAAACCGGAGCUAAUACCGGAUAAUAUUUUGAACCACAUGGUUCAAAAGUGAAAGACGGUCUUGCUGUCACUUAUAGAUGGAUCCGCGCUGCAUUAGCUAGUUGGUAAGGUAACGGCUUACCAAGGCAACGAUGCAUAGCCGACCUGAGAGGGUGAUCGCCCACACUGGAACUGAGACACGGUCCAGACUCCUACGGGAGGCAGCAGUAGGGAAUCUUCCGCAAUGGGCGAAAGCCUGACGGAGCAACGCCGCGUGAGUGAUGAAGGUCUUCGGAUCGUAAAACUCUGUUAUUAGGGAAGAACAUAUGUGUAAGUAACUGUGCACAUCUUGACGGUACCUAAUCAGAAAGCCACGGCUAACUACGUG
This 497-nucleotide ribosomal RNA is filed under the name uncultured bacterium. RNAcentral describes it as "partial 16S ribosomal RNA". It matches the Rfam family "Bacterial small subunit ribosomal RNA", at positions 28 to 507 of the family's 1533-position model. The record is from RNAcentral.